RNAcentral lists this unclassified non-coding RNA (1357 nucleotides) under Camponotus floridanus (Florida carpenter ant). Its description in RNAcentral is "glycine-rich protein DOT1, transcript variant X4". The record is from RNAcentral. Lineage: Eukaryota; Metazoa; Arthropoda; Insecta; Hymenoptera; Formicidae.
UCGUGGUCGAUGUUUCUCCUUCCUGCUCUUUCCGCCGCGGUAGUCGUCCAUUUUACUUGUUCGUUCAUUCGAGCGUUUUUUCAUCGAUGAACUGCUUGUUUACCCAAUCAAUCAACGUUUGAACAAUGGACGGAGCACCAGGCGGUAGAGGUGGAUUCCGAGGACGUGGUCCUGGAGGACUAAUGAGAGGACGUGGUGGCUUUGGAGACAGAGGACGAGGUGGUCCUCCACGAGGAGGUAAUAUGAUACGUGGAGGUAGAGGCAGUGGACCUGGUGGAAGCAUGAGAGGAGGUCCACCUAUGAGAAGUAGGGGUGGUCCUCCUAGAGGAGGGCGUGGUGGACAUUUUCCUCCAGGGCCACCUGAACCAGGAAUGUCCAGUGGAGGUGGGCCACUACCCUUAGGAAUGGGUGGUCCUCCGCGAGGUGGCGGCGGAAGAGGUGGUGGAAAUAACAGUUUUCGCAGCAGAGGCAGGGGAGAUUUUGGUAGAGGAGAUAAUCGUGCCAGUAAUAAUUUCCGUGGACGCGGUGGCAUAGAUAGAGGAAGAGGAGGAUCUCGAGGAUCAGGUAGAGGUGGGCCAAGCCGUGGAGGCGGUUUUUCUGAUCGUGGUGGACGAGGAAUAGGUGGUGGACGAGGUGGUCCAACAAAACGAGGAGGAGGUCCACCUAGUUCUAGUGGUCCCUCUAAAAGGCCACGUUUUGAUCAACCCUCUUCACAGUCUUCCAAUGGUUAUGCUACUCAAUCAUCUAGCCAAGGUUAUGGAGGCUCAAAUAAUGCUUAUGGUGGUCAACAACCACAGCAGCAGCAAUCGGUAGGAUAUGGCGGCGGCGGUGGCGGUUACGGAUCACAAGGAUAUACACAAUCCUAUCAGGGUUACGAGAGUUAUCAGCAAUCAGAUUACGCUCAAACAAGUGGCUAUCCACCGUCUGCACCACCGGAUAGUAGAUACGGCGGAUCGUCCUCGGUUCCUGUUGCAGGAGGAUUCAGCACUAACGAUCCCUAUUAUGGCAAAGCUCCGCCUAGUUCAGCCAAUUACCAGCAGGAGGCAGUGCCAGCAGCGGGGCCGGGGGGUGGUUAUGCCCCUGCUAACCCAUAUGACGACCGGUCUAAUGCCAACAUAAUCAACCGGGGUGGUUAUUCGACGCAACCUUACGAUUAUCCAAAUCAAGAUGGUGUUUAUGGAAAACAGGAUUAUGGUUGAUCACAACUAAUAUUAAUCGCCGAAUGUGAGACUAUCACCUACAUGAGAUCAUCGAUGACUGCCACAUGAUUGGCAUCGCAAUUUCGAGGGCUGAAAAAUGAAGUGUCUGUUAUUACGUAUAGCGAUUAAUAAAGAACACUUUCUGGGAAUUAUAUUAU